Molecule: long non-coding RNA, 228 nt
Filed under: Hordeum vulgare
Lineage: Eukaryota; Viridiplantae; Streptophyta; Magnoliopsida; Poales; Poaceae
Description: long non-coding RNA (HVUL_LNC010366)
Source: RNAcentral
GCCAAGAAAGUCUUCGCAAAAAGGUCCGUCCACGAACAACCGCUAGGCAGGCGGUACUAAGCUCCUGGAGCGGUACUACCGCUGACCAGGGGCGGUACUACCGCUAGCACUCCAGCAGUACUACCGCUAGGGCUAGCGGUACUACCGCUGGGGACUAUUUUGCAAGGAGGAAAGAAACACAGUGGCGGGGGCCGCUCCAAAGAUGAAGGUAAGGGAAAAUAUGUGAAG